RNAcentral lists this ribosomal RNA (506 nucleotides) under uncultured bacterium. RNAcentral's name for it is "partial 16S ribosomal RNA". It matches the Rfam family "Bacterial small subunit ribosomal RNA", at positions 29 to 523 of the family's 1533-position model. The record is from RNAcentral.
AGUGAACGCUGGCGGUAGGCCUAACACAUGCAAGUCGAACGGCAGCACAGAGGAGCUUGCUCCUUGGGUGGCGAGUGGCGGACGGGUGAGGAAUACAUCGGAAUCUACUCUGUCGUGAGGGAUAACGUAGGGAAACUUACGCUAAUACCGCAUACGACCUACGGGUGAAAGCAGGGGACCUUCGGGCCUCGCGCGAUUGAAUGAGCCGAUGUCGGAUUAGCUAGUUGGCGGGGUAAAGGCCCACCAAGGCGACGAUCCGUAGCUGGUUGGAGAGGAUGAUCAGCCACACUGGAACUGAGACACGGUCCAGACUCCUACGGGAGGCAGCAGUGGGGAAUAUUGGACAAUGGGCGCAAGCCUGAUCCAGCCAUACCGCGUGGGUGAAGAAGGCCUUCGGGUUGUAAAGCCCUUUUGUUGGGAAAGAAAUCCAGCUGGCUAAUACCCGGUUGGGAUGACGGUACCCAAAGAAUAAGCACCGGCUAACUUCGUGCCAGCCGCCGCCGUAA